ACAGGUGGUGCAUGGUUGUCGUCAGCUCGUGUCGUGAGAUGUUGGGUUAAGUCCCGCAACGAGCGCAACCCUUAUUGUUAGUUGCCAUCAUUUAGUUGGGCACUCUAGCGAGACUGCCGGUGACAAACCGGAGGAAGGUGGGGAUGACGUCAAAUCAUCAUGCCCCUUAUGACCUGGGCUACACACGUGCUACAAUGGGAAGUACAACGAGUUGCGAAGUCGCGAGGCUAAGCUAAUCUCUUAAAGCUUCUCUCAGUUCGGAUUGUAGGCUGCAACUCGCCUACAUGAAGCCGGAAUCGCUAGUAAUCGCGGAUCAGCACGCCGCGGUGAAUACGUUCCCGGGCCUUGUACACACCGCCCGUCACACCACGAGAGUUUGUAACACCCGAAGUCGGUGAGGUAACCUUUUUGGAGCCAGCCGCCUAAGGUGGGAUAGAUGAUUGGGGUGAAGUCGUAACAAGGUAGCCGUAUCGGAAGGUGCGGCUGGA
This 488-nucleotide ribosomal RNA is filed under the name Listeria monocytogenes. RNAcentral describes it as "bacterial SSU rRNA". It matches the Rfam family "Bacterial small subunit ribosomal RNA", at positions 1034 to 1522 of the family's 1533-position model. The record is from RNAcentral. Lineage: Bacteria; Bacillati; Bacillota; Bacilli; Caryophanales; Listeriaceae.